RNAcentral lists this long non-coding RNA (4009 nucleotides) under Ovis aries (sheep). RNAcentral's name for it is "lncRNA (ENSOARG00000026922.1)". The record is from RNAcentral. Lineage: Eukaryota; Metazoa; Chordata; Mammalia; Artiodactyla; Bovidae.
UUGGAGCUCUGGCUUAAAAAAAACGGAACACGUCUGAUACUUCUGUCCAAAUCCUGGGCUAGGGAAUUCCCUGGUGGUCCAGUGGUUAGGACUUGAUGCUUUCACUGCAUAGGCCCAGGGUUCAACCUCUGGUGGUGGAGCUAAGAUCCUGUAAACCUCUCAGGGGAAAAAAAAAAAAAAAAUCCUAGGUUGACACUCCAUUUCACCAGGUUUGCAGUGAGAGGCAUUUCAGUUUAACCCCUCUUGGCCUCAAGGAGGAAUGCCGCUCUCUUUCUCCCUAUGAAAACCUUUUAAAAAAUAAAGUGAGAUACCGAAAUUCAAGAGAUUUUGCAAAAGAAAAAAAAUACAGUAAAAUUCAGGAGGCUAUUAUUGUGAGAGAAGUGAAGGGGCAUGUUGUGAUUGAGGGAGAAUAGGAAAGAUGAAAAAUGACGCUUGAGAAUGAAAUAGACUUACAUGUAUAAUCCUAGGUUCUGCCACUUCAGUUUCUUCUUUUUUCCCUUUAGGUUUCUCAGACUGAACAAAGUCUUCUCUCACAUAUAUCAGAUACCUUAAUGAGCUCAGUGGCUCAUUAAGUGGCUCAAAUACCUCAAUGCCCCUCAAUAUACAUUCUCCAAGUUGGUAAAUUUUUACUAACAUCAUCCAUCACAGGUUUCCCAUCCCCUCCUUGUUCGCUCCUAGCUCAUACUCCACAGAAGAUAAUAUGCCCCUAAUUCUAGAAGAGACAGACUGUAUCACAGCUUCCUAUAGAAAGAGUGUCACUAGCUCCAUCAUAAUGGUUCAGAUCUCCCAACCCCCGCCCCCCACACACUAUGUCCAGUGGGGCACAGCACCAGCACUGUUGAGAACCUCAAAAUUCCCACAUGAGUUUGAGGAGCACUGGGAGCAGGGAGAAUCUGGCCCUUUGAAAAUAUGGCAGUAGGAUGGAGAGGGCAUGUAAACUGGACUUGCUCGACAGAGUGGCUUUCCGGAGGGUGACCAUUUCAGGCAAACACGCAGCGCGGCAACUGGAGGGCGAACUAGAGAGAGUGGCCCCGCUCCGUCCCUGUGCAGGUGCUUCCCUUCCUCUGGUCUUUAGGGGAGAAUGGUGGGGGGCAAGGAAGAAAGAGGACAAAGACAGAUUCUUCUGCCAGAAGGCCUCUGAAGGUAGCAGGUCCUGCAUCAGCUUCUGGAUUCGAGGAGACUUGAGCUGGUAUAGGUCCAUAAGACGGUUGAACUGUUCCAUCCACGCAGCACUGUCUCUUGCGUAUCGCUCCUGCAACAUCCGCAGAACAUGGGUCCAGGGCACCUGUGAAAAUGUCUCUUGUGGCAGAAUCAUAGUAUCGCAUCUCCAUCCCCCUGAGAGCAGUGGCUAUCUGCUUUGCCCGCGCACUCCGGACAUGGUGGAUCCACUCUACAUCUGAGAAACUGAUGUCUGGGUAGAUUUCCUCAGCCAGGAUUUUGGACAAAGCCAACUGCGGUUUGCUGAGUCUGUAAGAACGGUGUAAGUGAUAUCCUUGGACGCUCUUGUAAGGAGGAAGUCUUCAUCUUCCUUUUCUUGUAUGUAUUGUUCUGCGUCGCUUAUAGCUCUUGCCCGGCUGUGCCAGAAGAAGAAUUGUUGAGACUUGUCCCAUUCCAGCUCCCGCACGGGUGAGUGCAGGCUGCACUGCAGGUAUAUCGGGCUGCCCUCUGGCCAGAGACGGGCCCGGAUCACCGAGUUAGGGAUGUAGCAAUCUGGAGCCAAGAGCCAUUCCCGCCCGUGACCAAAGUAGCACCGCAGUAUCUGAUAGGGGUUGAGUUCAUCCCAGGUAGUCAGCUGUAGCUGGGGAGGAAGCACAUAAUGGAAAUAAGGUGGUUUUUUCACCUGCGACACAUCAACUUCCUUAUACCUGGAAUCAUGUUUGAAGGAAGAGAGUAGCACAGGGCUCCCUUGCUCAUCUUCUUCAAUGACAUGUGGCACAUUAUGAUCAAAGGCAAUGGCUCGAUGAUUGACAAGACUCUCCAGACCCACCAGUUGCUGCUGCCCGUGUCCAGGGUAGAUAUAUUUGGGCACAAACAUGGUCUCGAAGGAGAAGAAGAAGCUUGGUAUGAAAGGCUUAGGGACUUCGAGCACUUCAUCUGUCAGACCCAUAAGGGAGAGGUGAACCAGCAGGGUUGCAGGAAGCAGCUUUAAACAGGACACCAGAUAAAGACUCUCGUUGAAAGUUACAAGCAGGUCACCCCGGUCAUUUGCAAAGCAGAGUGGGCCAAAAUGCAGUGAUGAGUCCAGCAUGGCUAUGAGUCUCCCAUGGAAGUUCCAGAUCCGGACAGAGCCGUCACUGCCACCAGUGACAAAAAGACUCAGGGUCAGGCAGACAUCAAAAGAGAUGAUGGUGCAUUGGUGCAAAGGCAAGGUCUCUAUGAACGUUGAGCCAUCCUGUGAGCCAGAAGACAGAAAGUCAUGGAACUUCCAGAGACGCAGGCAGUUAGUCUGGGUGAUAGCACCCACUGACUUGGGCAAGAGUAUCAAGUGUGUUAGCUGACAGCUGCAGAGAAUGCUGGCAAGGGUCCGCAGUUUCACUCUGACCCCUUCAAGCACAGCUUCUGAGAGGUGUAUGUAGUCAUCCAUUCCAUAGGAACAGAGCAAAGAGUUUUCUCGGCUACCAGAGAGCCCUCCGGGCAAUGUAGAGAGGGCUAAGACAGACCCAAAGUGAAUGUAUGUCUCAAUACGGGCACAGCUGUGCUGGGAGAGCACUCUAAUCACACCGCUCUGGUAUCCAGAGAACAUCAGUCCUUCUAGACCCCGGCCCAGGUGAAAGUGCCCAUAAGCCAGGCACUGUACCAGGUCCUGAGAAUCUGGUGAGGUGCAUAAGAGAUACUUGGCCAUGCAAGGGGAGCGGGUGGUGUCAAAGACCAGCACGUCUGGGCUGCCUGUUGCUACAAAGAGCUCCUCUUUAUUGGGGUCGUAGGCCCAAUCCGUGGCCUGGUCCAGAAUUGAGAAGGGCCAGGUGAUGACCAGGAGAUUCCCCGUUAGCGGAGACACGAAGCGCAGCAGGCCAUCCUCGGUGGUGCACAGGAUCCGGAACCAGUUACUGCCACAGUGGACCCGGCGCACCUGCAGGGGAGCAGAGCCACAAACAUUGAAGAGGCUAUAGAAGAAGGGCAGGCUGCGCAAGGAGAAAGAGUGGGUAGUCUGGCAGAAGAAAGUGGUGCCAUCGAUAAACUGGAGCCGAUACAGCUCCUCGCCCAGUUCAAGCCGCCGUAGCAGAUUGCCUGAAGUCAGGUUCCACUCUUUGAUUAUGCCUUCCCGGCCAGCUGUGAGCAGGGUGUGGGCUUCUGGCUGGCUGCGGAUACAGACCACCGAAGAGAAGUGGGCCUUGAAAGUGUGGAGGGACUGGCCCCAAUUGAGGUUCCACACUUGGAUCUCCCCAGUCUUGUUUCCAGCGUAAAGAAAGCCCUGCUCAGAACAAGUGAAGCAGCAGGUGAUCGAGGAGCCACUGAUGGUGGAAGAGAACUUCUUCACCUCUGCCAGGAGGCCAUGGCCCUGGCGCUCCAGGACCCUCACCACAUUCUCACACAUGGCAAUCAGGGAGCCGUUGGGGCCAUUCAGCACGAUGUCAUGGACCAACUCAUCACCAGGCAGGGCGACCAUGUGGGCUAUUUGGAGACCCCUGCCGCUGCGCUCAAUGGUCCAGGUGACCACUGCCCCCAGGAUUCCCGACAGAAGCAUCUUCAUUUCUGGGUCAUAGCAGAGGCAGGUGAUGUUAAAGCGACAGGGUACUACCCCCAGGGAUUUGAAUGACCGAAGGUGGUCCCCAAAGAGCCGCAGGAGCAGGUCACCACAGUAGACCACAAGGAUAUGAAACGAACCUGUGUGGACCAUGGACUGGAUGGGUGGCAGCCGAUCUGUCAUGGAGAACGUUCUCUUCUCCACCAUGUCCUCAGUCUUGCUUUUCAUCCAUACUACAGCCUGAGAGAAUAAAAUGGAAACUAUCUAGGAUAGGUAGUAGAAGAGGAAAGGGCAGAAUAGUCAGCUAUUUUUCUCUUGCUAAGG